Molecule: transfer RNA, 72 nt
Filed under: Ovis aries (sheep)
Lineage: Eukaryota; Metazoa; Chordata; Mammalia; Artiodactyla; Bovidae
Rfam family: tRNA
About the family: Transfer RNA (tRNA) molecules are approximately 80 nucleotides in length. Their secondary structure includes four short double-helical elements and three loops (D, anti-codon, and T loops).
Source: Rfam by way of RNAcentral
UCCCUGGUGACUCAGAUGGCAAAGGAAUUGCCUGCAAUGCAGGAGACCCAGGUUCAAUCCCUGGUCAGGAAG